RNAcentral lists this long non-coding RNA (402 nucleotides) under Anas platyrhynchos platyrhynchos (common mallard). Its description in RNAcentral is "lncRNA (ENSAPLG00000024664.1)". The record is from RNAcentral. Lineage: Eukaryota; Metazoa; Chordata; Aves; Anseriformes; Anatidae.
ACUUUGAGGGGCACUGAGUGCACGCACAUCUGCUCCAGUUUUAAAGUGGAACAUCUAUAAAGUGAUCCCUGAAGAGCUUACAAUGGGAAUCCAGCAGAAACGAUCCUUUGGAUAUCUCUUUGUGCCGCAUGAGGAGGGAAGCAACGAAGUGCUGUGAAUUAGCCCGAGCUGUAGAGAUUGUAGGCAGUGCUGGUGGCGGUGCGCGCAGAGCCUCCCCGCGCGGCGCCGAGCGGAGCAGCCCCCCCUCCCCUGGCCGCCAUGGCUCUCUAAGGGCGGCAGGGCCAGCGGCGGCACCGGCCAGUGCACCAGGCGCAGCAGCAGCGGCGGCGGCCUCGGCACAUCCCCGGCAUCUGCAACCAUGGCGUGAGUAUCGGGUGUGAGGGGCGGGAGCUCGCUCCCCUG